AUGGGUGAGUAACCCUGGGCAAUCUGCCCUGCACUCUGGGACAAGCCCUGGCUACGGGGUCUAAUACCGGAUACAACCACUGACCGCAUGGUCGGGUGGUGGAAAGCUCCGGCGGUGCAGGAUGUGCCCGCGGCCUAUCAGCUUGUUGGUGAGGUAAUGGCUCACCAAAGCAACAACGGGUAGCCGGCCUGAGAGGGCGACCGGCCACUCUGGGACUGAGACACGGCCCAGACUCCUACAGGAGGCACCCAUGGGGAAUAUUGCACUGUGGGCGAAAGCCUGAUGCACCGACGCCUCGUGAGGUAUGACGGCCUUCAGGUUGUAGACCUCUUUCACCAAGGAAGAACCGAAAGUGACCGUGCCUGCAGAAGAAGCGCCAGCUAACUACCUGCCAGCAGCCGCGGUAAUAGGUAGGGCGCAAGCGUUGUCCGGAAUUAUUGGGCGUAAAGAGCUCGUAGGCGGCUUGUCACGUCGGUUGUGAAAGCCCGGCGCUUAACCCCUGGUCUGCAGUCGAUACGGGCUCGCUAGUGUUCGGUGGAAUAGAUCGGAAUUCCUGGUAUAGCGGUGAAAUGCGCAGA
Molecule: ribosomal RNA, 578 nt
Filed under: Actinomycetales bacterium HRTK139
Lineage: Bacteria; Bacillati; Actinomycetota; Actinomycetes; Actinomycetales
Description: bacterial SSU rRNA
Rfam family: Bacterial small subunit ribosomal RNA
Source: RNAcentral